UAGAGUCUUCUUCUUUUUCUUUGGUAAAUGUACGUACAAAUCGAAUGGUUAACAUGUUUAACUUAGAACUAUAGUCGUCUUGUUCUAUUAUACAGUGAAGUCGUAAAGAUAUGCUACUUAGCGUAAUAUGAGAAUGUAUUAUUUUUCGUGCAAGGUGAAAAGAGAAAAUGAGGCUUGCUCCCGGCCUCCGCUGAUACGAGCAGCGCUUUGACGUCUGCAGUAAUAAUAAAUAAGGAAUCAAAACAAACUAAAAAACUAAAUAACAAAGUGGUCUGUUAAAACAGUGUCGAACAGAGGGUAUAAAAGUGAUAGUUUUUAAAUAUAAUUGUAUGCUUAAUGUAUAGUUUAUCACAGUUAAUCGAGUGCUCAAAGAGCUUUUUUUUAUGUGUAGUAAAAUAACAUUAUCACAGAUAAAUGUAUCAUAUAAUAAUAAUCGAGUGCUCAGUGAGCUUAUAUGUAAAAACAAUUAUAUGGAACCUUAUGUGCCAGACGCGAUUUUUUGGUAGAAUUGUGGCAAGUUGUGGUCAAGAAGGCUUUCAGGCGUUUCGUUCAAAAUUCCUACAGAUGAUAGAUAGUUUUCAUGCGUGGCAAGUUUUUCGACGAAUGUUAAUUGUUGGCGUUGGGCAUAUUCACAAAGAGGAACAACAUUUGACGCAGUAUAAAUGACUUCUAAUUCUUUGGCCACUGUUGGGGAAAUAGAGAACCAGAUCGGAAAUCCAUAGAGCAAAAUCGGACGGAUUGCUACCUUGUAGAGGAGGAGUUUUGUUUUUUGAGGUAGGUGUUUAUUGUUUAACACAUAUGCAAAUCUUGCUAAAACACCUUUUCCUUUUUUCAUGAUUGAGCGGGCAUGGAAAUUAAAUUUCAUUAAGUUGUUGAAUUGGAUGCCGAGAUAUUUGAAAGAGGUUCUGAAUGGUAUGUUUACGCCAUCCAAGGACAGUUGUAGUGAUUUGCUCUCUGGGACAACGUACCAUGGACAUUUUCCGGAGGCGUUACGUAUGCAGAUUGCAACAGACUUCGCGGCGUUUAUUUGUAUACCCCA
Long non-coding RNA from Musca domestica (house fly), 1039 nucleotides. RefSeq lists it as uncharacterized. The record is from RefSeq and is a predicted model, not a curated record. The transcript has 4 exons. Lineage: Eukaryota; Metazoa; Arthropoda; Insecta; Diptera; Muscidae.